CGCGCUCAUGCAUACCCAAACUGGCAUCGGCCUAUGAAUGAAAAAUAAUUUAGUGGAAUAUACAUAUACACUUAAACUUAAACAACCAGUCUUACAGCUAUCUUUCCUGCAUUCGGUUCGGUUAACGCGUCGCGCGUCAUAUGGUGUCAGCGCCUUUCGGUCGUUUGGGCAUGAGGAGGGCUGCGCUGUUUCCUGGGAUCCGCCAAUUUGAUAGGAAGACAAUACCAAAUAAUAAAUGGACACAAACCAAAGUUAAUCGCACUACAUGAAACUCAAACCAUCAACGAAGAUACAUCUCUUAUCACGCCAAGACAAUUUGAGCUAUACCAAAAAAAAUGGUAUUACAUCAAGCACAAAAGCAAGUAAAGGCGUCGCCCUUCUCAUGUCAAAAAGUAGCGAACACAAUAUAAUUUCUAUCUAAUCCAAUGUUCUUUCCAUUGCUGCUUAAAUCUAAUUUGAAACACGCUUUGUAUGAAUAAAUAUCUACAUCUCAA
Long non-coding RNA from Drosophila miranda, 494 nucleotides. RefSeq lists it as uncharacterized. The transcript is spliced from 2 exons. The record is from RefSeq and is a predicted model, not a curated record. NCBI's taxonomy places the organism in Eukaryota, Metazoa, Arthropoda, Insecta, Diptera, Drosophilidae.